UACAGAGGUCCCAAGCGUUGUUCGGAUUCACUGGGCGUAAAGGGUGCGUAGGUGGUCGGGUAAGUCUGAUGUGAAAUCUCGGAGCUCAACUCCGAAACUGCAUUGGAUACUAUUCGGCUGGAGGGUUGGAGGGGGGACUGGAAUUCUCGGUGUAGCAGUGAAAUGCGUAGAUAUCGAGAGGAACACCAGUGGCGAAGGCGAGUCCCUGGACAACUCCUGACACUAAGGCACGAAAGCUAGGGGAGCAAACAGG
Molecule: ribosomal RNA, 253 nt
Filed under: uncultured bacterium
Lineage: Bacteria
Description: partial 16S ribosomal RNA
Rfam family: Bacterial small subunit ribosomal RNA
Source: RNAcentral